AACGGGGCUAAACCAUGCACCGAAGCUGCGGCAGCGACACUGUGUGUUGUUGGGUAGGGGAGCGUUCUGUAAGCCUGUGAAGGUGGCCUGUGAGGGUUGCUGGAGGUAUCAGAAGUGCGAAUGCUGACAUAAGUAACGAUAAAGCGGGUGAAAAGCCCGCUCGCCGGAAGACCAAGGGUUCCUGUCCAACGUUAAUCGGGGCAGGGUGAGUCGACCCCUAAGGCGAGGCCGAAAGGCGUAGUCGAUGGGAAACGGGUUAAUAUUCCCGUACUUGGUGUUACUGCGAAGGGGGGACGGAGAAGGCUAUGUUGGCCGGGCGACGGUUGUCCCGGUUUAAGCGUGUAGGUGUGUGUUCCAGGUAAAUCCGGUUCACUUUAACACUGAGGCGUGACGACGAGGCACUACGGUGCUGAAGCAACAAAUGCCCUGCUUCCAGGAAAAGCCUCUAAGCAUCAGGUAACAUCAAAUC
This 469-nucleotide ribosomal RNA is filed under the name Salmonella enterica subsp. enterica serovar Mbandaka. Its description in RNAcentral is "bacterial LSU rRNA". It matches the Rfam family "Bacterial large subunit ribosomal RNA", at positions 1174 to 1643 of the family's 2925-position model. Lineage: Bacteria; Pseudomonadati; Pseudomonadota; Gammaproteobacteria; Enterobacterales; Enterobacteriaceae. The record is from RNAcentral.